This 192-nucleotide ribosomal RNA is filed under the name uncultured bacterium. RNAcentral's name for it is "partial 16S ribosomal RNA". It matches the Rfam family "Bacterial small subunit ribosomal RNA", at positions 335 to 524 of the family's 1533-position model. The record is from RNAcentral.
ACUCCUACGGGAGGCAGCAGUGAGGAAUAUUGGUCAAUGGACGCAAGUCUGAACCAGCCACGUCGCGUGAAGGAAGACGGCCCUACGGGUUGUAAACUUCUUUUAUACGGGAAUAAAGUGCCCCACGCGUGGGGUUUUGCAAGUACCGUACGAAUAAGGAUCGGCUAACUCCGUGCCAGCAGCCGCGGUAAU